This 459-nucleotide ribosomal RNA is filed under the name uncultured bacterium. RNAcentral's name for it is "bacterial SSU rRNA". It matches the Rfam family "Bacterial small subunit ribosomal RNA", at positions 30 to 494 of the family's 1533-position model. The record is from RNAcentral.
AUUGAACGCUGGCGGCAUGCCUUACACAUGCAAGUCGAACGGCAGCACGGGAGCUUGCUCCUGGUGGCGAGUGGCGAACGGGUGAGUAAUGCAUCGGAACGUGCCCUGAAGUGGGGGAUAACGUAGCGAAAGUUACGCUAAUACCGCAUAUUCUGUGAGCAGGAAAGCAGGGGAUCUUCGGACCUUGCGCUUUUGGAGCGGCCGAUGUCGGAUUAGCUAGUUGGUGGGGUAAAGGCCCACCAAGGCGACGAUCCGUAGCGGGUCUGAGAGGAUGAUCCGCCACACUGGAACUGAGACACGGUCCAGACUCCUACGGGAGGCAGCAGUGGGGAAUUUUGGACAAUGGGCGCAAGCCUGAUCCAGCCAUGCCGCGUGAGUGAAGAAGGCCUCGGGUUGGUAAAGCUCUUUCGGUUGGGGGUAAGGAAAGUUAGCUUGGGGUUAAUACCCGUGAGUAGAUGA